This 451-nucleotide ribosomal RNA is filed under the name uncultured bacterium. RNAcentral describes it as "bacterial SSU rRNA". It matches the Rfam family "Bacterial small subunit ribosomal RNA", at positions 29 to 524 of the family's 1533-position model. The record is from RNAcentral.
AACGAACGCUGGCGGCAUGCCUAACACAUGCAAGUCGAACGAAGCCUUCGGGCUUAGUGGCGCACGGGUGCGUAACGCGUGGGAAUCUGCCCUUCGGUUCGGAACAACAGUUAGAAAUGACUGCUAAUACCGGAUGAUGACGUAAGUCCAAAGAUUUAUCGCCGAAGGAUGAGCCCGCGUAGGAUUAGCUAGUUGGUAAGGUAAAAGCUUACCAAGGCGACGAUCCUUAGCUGGUCUGAGAGGAUGAUCAGCCACACUGGGACUGAGACACGGCCCAGACUCCUACGGGAGGCAGCAGUGAGGAAUAUUGGACAAUGGGCGAAAGCCUGAUCCAGCAAUGCCGCGUGAGUGAUGAAGGCCUUAGGGUUGUAAAGGCUCUUUUACCAGGGAUGAUAAUGACAGUACCUGGAGAAUAAGCUCCGGCUAACUCCGUGCCAGCAGCCGCGGUAAU